Molecule: long non-coding RNA, 1628 nt
Organism: Pseudoliparis swirei
Lineage: Eukaryota; Metazoa; Chordata; Actinopteri; Perciformes; Liparidae
Exons: 2
Source: RefSeq, a predicted model, not a curated record
GUGGCGCUUGAUGGACCGCUCAACAGAUGAGCUCAUCCGGCAGCGUCUCCAAUGGCAAAGUGCUUCCAGCUUCCUCGGGCACUUAAUCAAUGGUUUGGUGUUAUGGACUGACCGCUGCAGUCCUCGCCACCCGCUCUCUCUCUCUCUCGCCUGCCGCGCACGCCCGGAAAUCCGACAUUGACCCCGAAGACACGAAUACGAAUACCGCCACAGAGUGAUUAGUGACUGAAAAUGUAAUCACCGAUACCUCGGAGAUGCCGCAGGAAAGAAAAGACCCCCCCCCACCAAAAAAAAGCCUUUUGAAUGGAGUGGAAAUGCCAGAACCGUCUCCAUUACCGCCCACACAGCCAGAAGCUGGGGAUCAUCAUAACACCUUUGCCUGGAGAAUUAAUUCAAUUUGCCGAAUGAGUCCACGCCGUUACGACUGAAAAGCAGGGGAAAAAAAGUGAAUUUGAGUGAUAUUUACAGAGAGAUUAGCAUUUGUGUUCCGCAACAUUAGGGUUGUCUCCGCCCCGCCGCCGAGGGAACGUAUCGAGUCCAUUUUACGACGGGGAAGCCGCUGGGAACAAGUGCUUUUAAAUUUUUUUAUUAUUUUAGUGUGGAGCGGUAAUGACAUUUUAAUGGCCAUUUUCCCCCUGAAGCGAACAUAUCUCUGGAAACAAAAGGAGGAAAAAAAAAAAAAGGAAAGAAAAGCCCCUGGUUGAAUGACUGGGAGCAGUCAGGCCCGUGACGUUGAAAUGAAGGGACUGGUAGGUAAGCGACAAUAAGCCCCGGCUGCUCUUUAAACACCGCCGCCCCUAAAGCGCCGCUUAGAGUCGCCCCUUAAUCUGCUUCGGCUGUCGGCUCAUGUCGAGAGGAAGAACGUCCAGAGGUUGUAGCUCGUCUUACUUUCCACUCAGGGCGUCAAUCGGCGGCGUCAAUGAGGUUCAUGCUUCAUGACGCAUGAUUUAGAGGAGGAGUUCAAUGCAACAAUCAAAGAUCUUCUAUGGUCGGGAGGAUGGGGCAACUGACGGACUCUAUCACCCCGGGACAGUUUCCCACUGGUCACUCCGCUCUUCAUACUUAAUGUUUCAUAUUUAAUUUCACAUGUCACUUUCGUACACAUUACACUUUAACAAACGCACACUUACAGUCCCCUGUUGACAGCGCUGUUAUCUGUAUGUGCACUUUUACUUUAUACCAUUGUAAAUGUCAUGUUUAAAUUCAUGCACUAUGUUGGUUUCUUAUGUCUGUCUAAUGUACACGCCAGCUACACGCCAGCUACACGCCAGCUACACGCCAGCUACACGCCAGCUACACGCCAGCUACACGCCAGCUACACGCCAGCUACACGCCAGCUACACGCCAGCUACACGUAACCCACUGAUUGGCUCAGGGAGGAAAGACUUUCAAUUGGCCAAUCCAGGACCUGAGUCCUGAUAAAUAUCCGGGUCAAGGGAGGUCACUUCCUGUUUUCGUGUGGGUGCAGACAGCGGUCAGGUUUUUGGGAUACCCACUUUGUAUCCAAGGAAGAUGGCGAGCUACCCACGAGAUGGAUGAAUAACAUGCCCACUGUGAAAAGUUUCUUUUGAUUAUACAUAUGUUUACUGGAUUUAUGUUUAUGUUCAGUAAAAAGCCUUAAACCUCAA